UAAAAUUGCAGUUGAAACUGGCAGUCUUGAGUACAGUAGAGGUGGGCGGAAUUCGUGGUGUAGCGGUGAAAUGCUUAGAUAUCACGAAGAACUCCGAUUGCGAAGGCAGCUCACUAGACUGUUACUGACACUGAUGCUCGAAAGUGUGGGUAUCAAACAGGAUUAGAUACCCUGGUAGUCCACACAGUAAACGAUGAAUACUCGCUGUUUGCGAUAUACAGUAAGCGGCCAAGCGAAAGCAUUAAGUAUUCCACCUGGGGAGUACGCCGGCAACGGUGAAACUCAAAGGAAUUGACGGGGGCCCGCACAAGCGGAGGAACAUGUGGUUUAAUUCGAUGAUACGCGAGGAACCUUACCCGGGCUUAAAUUGCAACAGAAUAUAUUGGAAACAGUAUAGCCGUAAGGCUGUUGUGAAGGUGCUGCAUGGUUGUCGUCAGCUCGUGCCGUGAGGUGUCGGCUUAAGUGCCAUAACGAGCGCAACCCUUAUCUUUAGUUACUAACAGGUUAUGCUGAGGACUCUAGAGAGACUGCCGUCGUAAGAUGUGAGGAAGGUGGGGAUGACGUCAAAUCAGCACGGCCCUUACGUCCGGGGCUACACACGUGUUACAAUGGGGGGUACAGAAGGCGGCUACCUGGUGACAGGAUGCUAAUCCCAAAAACCUCUCUCAGUUCGGAUCGAAGUCUGCAACCCGACUUCGUGAAGCUGGAUUCGCUAGUAAUCGCGCAUCAGCCAUGGCGCGGUGAAUACGUUCCCGGGCCUUGUACACGCCGCCCGUCAAGCCAUGAAAGCCGGGGGUACCUGAAGUACGUAAACCGCAAG
RNAcentral lists this ribosomal RNA (820 nucleotides) under Bacteroides ovatus. Its description in RNAcentral is "bacterial SSU rRNA". It matches the Rfam family "Bacterial small subunit ribosomal RNA", at positions 616 to 1445 of the family's 1533-position model. Lineage: Bacteria; Pseudomonadati; Bacteroidota; Bacteroidia; Bacteroidales; Bacteroidaceae. The record is from RNAcentral.